GGCGAACGCUGGCGGCGUGCCUAAUACAUGCAAGUUGAGCGAUGAAGAUUGGUGCUUGCACCAAUUUGAAGAGCAGCGAACGGGUGAGUAACGCGUGGGGAAUCUGCCUUUGAGCGGGGGACAACAUUUGGAAACGAAUGCUAAUACCGCAUAACAACUUUAAACAUAAGUUUUAAGUUUGAAAGAUGCAAUUGCAUCACUCAAAGAUGAUCCCGCGUUGUAUUAGCUAGUUGGUGAGGUAAAGGCUCACCAAGGCGAUGAUACAUAGCCGACCUGAGAGGGUGAUCGGCCACAUUGGGACUGAGACACGGCCCAAACUCCUACGGGAGGCAGCAGUAGGGAAUCUUCGGCAAUGGACGAAAGUCUGACCGAGCAACGCCGCGUGAGUGAAGAAGGUUUUCGGAUCGUAAAACUCUGUUGGUAGAGAAGAACGUUGGUGAGAGUGAAAAGCUCAUCAAGUGACGGUAACUACCCAGAAAGGGACGGCUAACUACGUG
RNAcentral lists this ribosomal RNA (497 nucleotides) under uncultured bacterium. RNAcentral's name for it is "partial 16S ribosomal RNA". It matches the Rfam family "Bacterial small subunit ribosomal RNA", at positions 28 to 507 of the family's 1533-position model. The record is from RNAcentral.